This 332-nucleotide unclassified non-coding RNA is filed under the name soil metagenome. RNAcentral's name for it is "partial contains 5.8S ribosomal RNA, internal transcribed spacer 2, and large subunit ribosomal RNA". The stretch from base 1 to 120 matches the Rfam family "5.8S ribosomal RNA", at positions 35 to 154 of the family's 154-position model. The record is from RNAcentral.
GAUGAAGAACGUAGCGAAAUGCGAUACGUAAUGUGAAUUGCAGAAUUCAGUGAAUCAUCGAAUCUUUGAACGCACAUUGCGCCCGCCAGUAUUCUGGCGGGCAUGCCUGUUCGAGCGUCAUUUCAACCCUCAAGCACAGCUUGGUGUUGGGACUCGCGUUAAUUCGCGUUCCCCAAAUUGAUUGGCGGUCACGUCGAGCUUCCAUAGCGUAGUAGUAAAACCCUCGUUACUGGUAAUCGUCGCGGCCACGCCGUUAAACCCCAACUUCUGAAUGUUGACCUCGGAUCAGGUAGGAAUACCCGCUGAAUUUAAGCAUAUCAAUAAGCGGAGGA